GAUGAAGAACGUAGCGAAAUGCGAUAAGUAAUGCGAAUUGCAGAAUUCAGUGAAUCAUCGAAUCUUUGAACGCACAUUGCGCCCCUUGGUAUUCCGAGGGGCAUGCCUGUUCGAGCGUCAUUAUAACCCCUCAAGCUCAGCUUGGUGUUGGGGCCUGCUGCACUGGCAGCCCUUAAAAUCAGUGGCGGCGCCAUCUGGCUCUAAGCGUAGUAAUUCUUCUCGCUAUGGAGUCCUGGUGGAUGCUUGCCAUCAACCCCCAAUUUUUCUAUGGUUGACCUCGGAUCAGGUAGGGAUACCCGCUGAACUUAAGCAUAUCAAUAAGCGGAGGA
RNAcentral lists this unclassified non-coding RNA (329 nucleotides) under soil metagenome. RNAcentral describes it as "partial contains 5.8S ribosomal RNA, internal transcribed spacer 2, and large subunit ribosomal RNA". The stretch from base 1 to 120 matches the Rfam family "5.8S ribosomal RNA", at positions 35 to 154 of the family's 154-position model. The record is from RNAcentral.